This 428-nucleotide ribosomal RNA is filed under the name uncultured Chlamydiae bacterium. RNAcentral describes it as "bacterial SSU rRNA". It matches the Rfam family "Bacterial small subunit ribosomal RNA", at positions 958 to 1385 of the family's 1533-position model. Lineage: Bacteria; Pseudomonadati; Chlamydiota; Chlamydiia. The record is from RNAcentral.
AACGCGAAGAACCUUACCUGGGCUCGAAAUGUAGAGGACUAUGGCAGAGAUGUCAUAUCCCGAAAGGGUCUCUAUAUAGGUGCUGCAUGGCUGUCGUCAGCUCGUGCCGUGAGGUGUUUGGUUAAGUCCAGCAACGAGCGCAACCCUUAUCGUUAGUUGCCAACGCGUAAUGGCGGGAACUCUAACGAGACUGCCUGGGUUAACCAGGAGGAAGGUGAGGAUGACGUCAAGUCCGCAUGGCCUUUAUGUCCAGGGCUACACACGUGCUACAAUGGUCGGUACAGAAGGCAGCGAAACCGCGAGGUGAAGCAAAUCCCGAAAAACCGAUCUCAGUUCAGAUUGUAGACUGCAACUCGUCUACAUGAAGUUGGAAUUGCUAGUAAUGGCGUGUCAGCAACAACGCCGUGAAUACGUUCCCGGGCCUUGUA